Molecule: long non-coding RNA, 718 nt
Filed under: Chrysolophus pictus (golden pheasant)
Lineage: Eukaryota; Metazoa; Chordata; Aves; Galliformes; Phasianidae
Description: lncRNA (ENSCPIG00010008510.1)
Source: RNAcentral
UUCAAGUCCUUGGCUUGAGCAAUAGCUCUUGCAUUUCUCUGAGAAGCAGAUGUGAUGAUAAACUUCUCACCAAACAGAAUAAAUGUUUGCUGAUCCCAAGGUGAUAUGUUACCGCAGCCCCAUGUUGUUAGGCACAGAAAAACGUCGCUGGAGACUUCUCCUCCCACUCAGCGUGUCCCCACCUGGGGCCCCACUCACACAUCUCUCAGUCCCAACAGCAGCUGAGCAGGAGCAGCAAACAUGCUGCUGCUGGCAGCUCUGAUGCUUGCAACUGCCUGGUCUUAUGGAUUAGCACAGGAAACUCCCAUACAGAGCCCUGUAUCCAUCACCGUGGCACAAGGAAACACUGAUCUGAAGUGUCAUUUUAAGGACUUCUCUGGAAAUUUUGAUAACACCGUCAUACACUGGUAUCAACAGAAGGAGAAUAAAGCUCCAGUCAGGAUGAUCUACUUUUCAUCAGGGAAAGUAGUAGCAGAUGAGGGUUUCCAAAGGCACAGAUACAUGAUUCAAACUAUUUCUAGACAGAAACUUUGCACUCUUACCAUAAGAAAUGUAAUUCCGGAUGAUGCUGCUACUUACUAUUGUGCCUACUGGGACCCUCACUGUGGCAGAUGCCAAACAAUCACCUCAACAAAUACUUCCUCAGCAGCUCAACCACAGAUCAUUUGGAAUGAUCUGGUGCCAGGCAGAUUUCUGCUCUGUGGGCAGAAGAAUAGCA